This is a non-coding RNA of Momordica charantia (bitter melon), 2249 nucleotides long. NCBI's taxonomy places the organism in Eukaryota, Viridiplantae, Streptophyta, Magnoliopsida, Cucurbitales, Cucurbitaceae. The record is from RefSeq and is a predicted model, not a curated record.
AGUUUAGCAAAAUGCCGAGUGGUGGGAAAACGGCUCACAAGUCCUAACCUUCAUCGGAUCGGAAUGACCACAGGCGAUCACAAUUCACCGACUACGUUCGCCGGAAGCGAGAGUAUUUCACGGAACUGUAAGCCGACGGACGGCCAGGGAAGAGAAAUUUCCGGUCGCCGUCGUCACUGUUAGCCGGCCAAAGCAAAAGCAAUCUGUGAAGGAGGUGGAGGAAAGCUCCGGUGCGGAGGAACAAGUCCAGAAUCCUCAGUUUCGGGAACUCAAAUAGAAGCUCCGUUUUAUCAGCCAUGGACAAGUACUUGGUUCCUUCCGAUUCUACAUCACAAAAUCCUAAACCGUUGCCGAGCAGGAAUAGGUGGAAACUAAGCAACGUCGAAUUGAAUGGGAAGUUUGAUCCGAAGUACCGUCAGGACUUGUCCGUGCUUCUAAUGCAAUCUUAUACCGAGGUUGGAGCGUUUCCUCAUUUGUAUCACAUAGACGGCAUUUUCUGUCCAACUAGUUUGAAUCGGAUUGCCAAUCGAGCUCAGGAUCAUCUACUGCCAUUUAAGAAACAAGGCAUAUCUGCUGUGGACUUUGACAACAAGGGAAUAUACUUGGUUUCAGUAACGAAAACAGGUUGUUUAACAGUGCACGACUUUGAAAGUCUUUAUUUCCAGACUAAUGAAGCAGGGUCGAGUGAAGACGAGAUCAAACACUUACUGCACCUUUCCUUAAAGGAACAGCUAGACUUUGUAAGGUGGAAUCCUGCCAACCAAGAUGAGGUGGUCUGUACAUCCAUGAAAAGUAAGGAACUAAGAAUCUUUGACAUUGGUUAUAUUUCUUCUAAACCAGUCGAAGUGUUGAGGGCAAGACAAAGCAUCAACAAUUUAGGGACUGAUAAUCAUAAAGGUUUAUCUGACAUAGCAUUUAUUUCAGAUAAUUCAAGGUUACUUGCGUCUGAUACAUGUGGUGGAAUCAAUAUGUGGGACAGAAGAAUUGGAACACUUCCAUGUCUUGAGCUUACCAGUAAUUCGUGCAGCACCCUUAACAGAAUCCAGCUGAAUGUUGAAAAUCAGAUUAUCUUUGGUUCUGGUAAGCAUGGAAUUAUCUAUAUUUGGGAUCUUCGUGGAGGGAGAACAUCUGGUGCCUUUCAAAAUCAUAAAGAGGUGUGCCAUCCUCCUCUAAAAUCAUUGAAGUUAGCCUCAAUGAUAGAGAAAAUUGGGACUCUGAAGGAGCAAGCAAAUAUCAUUCCAAAGGAAAUACACUCUAUUGACCUCAACCCAGCUUGUCCUUAUCAGUUGGCCUUCCAUCUUGAUGACGGUUGGUCAGGUAUUUUGGAUGUAUAUAAUUUUCAGGUCACACACAUUCAUUGCCCACCACCAGCUUGGUUAAAUGAUUCCAACAUGUCCUCAGAUCAAUUGUUUUUGAGGAAACCAUCAUGGCUGCCUACAGAUUCUGUAAGUUUCCUUAACCUGUGCUUCUAUUUUGUUUCAUCACUUUUUGACACAGUAGCAACCCAGUGUUAUAUAGGAAUAUUUGCACGACCAGAAUUGUUCUGUCAAAAUCUUCAAUCAUACAGCACAACAACAAUAUGUGGUGGUCAGUUUUUCUGGAUUUUUGCAGUCGGAUCUUCUUCUGAUGAAGGUAUUCAUCUUUUGGAUUUUCAUCCUGACUCCCGCUCUCCCAGCCAUGUGGACUACAAUGAUGAUUUAAUUAGUGCUGGAGGAGAAAACAAAAAACGACAAAACAGAUUUGUUAAAUUGUCUGAAGGAGUUACUUCUUGUGCUGCUCACCCCCUCAAUGGCACCAUUAUAGCCGGAACAAAGAAUUCAUCUUUGAUCAUGAUUUCCCAGAAGAAGCAAUCAAUUUAGAAGCAGAGAUUGAUUAAACAAAUUCCCAGCUCCUAUUUGAACCCAAAAUGUGAGCUAUUGAGUUUGGCGGAGAAUACAAAUAUUUGGAACUCCAAGGGCAAUUGAAAAAUGCCUUCAGAACUCGGAAAUUUAGUAUCCUACUGCAUAUCAACAUUUAUGGAGUUCCAUCUCAAAACCAAUUGACAAUUUUGAUCGGAUCCUAUUUUUGGACCAAAUGUUCGUCGAUGAGAGGAUUAGCCCAGGUGUAUUAUAAACUUAUGUAAGGUCUCUUCUUUUAUCAAUAUGGGAUCCUUAACCGUACCUAUUUUUUUUUUCAAUUAAGAUUUACCAUAGUAAGGCGAGUAUCAAAUCAGUUGAUAACAACUACUUAUCUACUGAGUUAUACUUUAA